Molecule: ribosomal RNA, 433 nt
Filed under: uncultured bacterium
Lineage: Bacteria
Description: partial 16S ribosomal RNA
Rfam family: Bacterial small subunit ribosomal RNA
Source: RNAcentral
AACGAACGCUGGCGGCAUGCCUAACACAUGCAAGUCGAACGAGACCUUCGGUUCUAGUGGCGCACGGGUGCGUAACGCGUGGGAACCUGCCCUUAGGUUCGGAAUAACUCCCCGAAAGGGGUGCUAAUACCGGAUAAUGUCUUCGGACCAAAGAUUUAUCGCCUUUGGAUGGGCCCGCGUUGGAUUAGCUAGUUGGUAGGGUAAAAGCCUACCAAGGCGACGAUCCAUAGCUGGUCUGAGAGGAUGAUCAGCCACACUGGGACUGAGACACGGCCCAGACUCCUACGGGAGGCAGCAGUGGGGAAUAUUGGACAAUGGGCGAAAGCCUGAUCCAGCAAUGCCGCGUGAGUGAUGAAGGCCUUAGGGUUGUAAAGCUCUUUUAUCCGGGAUGAUAAUGACAGUACCGGGAGAAUAAGCUCCGGCUAACUCCGUG